RNAcentral lists this ribosomal RNA (964 nucleotides) under Amylostereum laevigatum. RNAcentral describes it as "eukaryotic LSU rRNA". It matches the Rfam family "Eukaryotic large subunit ribosomal RNA", at positions 1 to 953 of the family's 3401-position model. Lineage: Eukaryota; Fungi; Basidiomycota; Agaricomycetes; Russulales; Stereaceae. The record is from RNAcentral.
UGACCUCAGAUCAGGUGGGACUACCCGCUGAACUUAAGCAUAUCAAUAAGCGGAGGAAAAGAAACUAACAAGGAUUCCCCUAGUAACUGCGAGUGAAGCGGGAAAAGCUCAAAUUUAAAAUCUGGCGUCUUCGGSCGUCCGAGUUGUAGUUUAGAGAAGCGUUUUCCGCGCCGGACCGUGUACAAGUCUCCUGGAACGGAGCGUCAUAGAGGGUGAGAAUCCCGUCUUUGACACGGACUACCGGUGCUCUGUGAUGCGCUCUCGAAGAGUCGAGUUGUUUGGGAAUGCAGCUCAAAAUGGGUGGUGAAUUCCAUCUAAAGCUAAAUAUUGGCGAGAGACCGAUAGCGAACAAGUACCGUGAGGGAAAGAUGAAAAGCACUUUGGAAAGAGAGUUAAACAGUACGUGAAAUUGUUGAAAGGGAAACGCUUGAAGUAAGUCSCGUUCGCCGGGAAUCAACCUUGCUUCGGCUCGGUGUACUUCCCGGUGUACGGGCCAGCAUCACUUUUGAUCGUCGGAAAAGGGCGAGGGAAAGGUGGCACCUUCGGGUGUGUUAUAGUCCCUUGUCGUAUACGAUGGUUGGGAGUGAGGAACUCAGCACGCCUUACGGUCGGGGUUNGCCCACGUUCGUGCUUAGGAUGCUGGCGUAAUGGCUUUAAACGACCCGUCUUGAAACACGGACCAAGGAGUCUAACAUGCCCGCGAGUGUUCGGGUGGAAAACCCGUGCGCGUAAUGAAAGUGAAAGUUGGGACCUCUAUCGUGGAGGGCACCGACGCCCGGACCAGACCUUCUGUGACGGUUCUGCGGUAGAGCGUGUAUGUUGGGACCCGAAAGAUGGUGAACUAUGCCUGAAUAGGGUGAAGCCAGAGGAAACUCUGGUGGAGGCUCGUAGCGAUUCUGACGUGCAAAUCGAUCGUCAAAUUUGGGUAUAGGGGCGAAAGACUAAUCGAACCAUCUAGUAGCUG